This 250-nucleotide ribosomal RNA is filed under the name uncultured bacterium. Its description in RNAcentral is "partial 16S ribosomal RNA". It matches the Rfam family "Bacterial small subunit ribosomal RNA", at positions 15 to 252 of the family's 1533-position model. The record is from RNAcentral.
GAUCCUGGCUCAGGAUGAACGCUAGCUACAGGCUUAACACAUGCAAGUCGAGGGGCAUCAGUUUGGUUUGCUUGCAAACCAAAGCUGGCGACCGGCGCACGGGUGAGUAACACGUAUCCAACCUGCCUCAUACUCGGGGGAUAGCCUUUCGAAAGAAAGAUUAAUAUCCGAUAGCAUAUAUUUCCCGCUAUGGGGUUUUAUAUUAAAGAAAUUCGGUAUGAGAUGGGGAUGCGUUCCAUUAGUUUGUUGG